Molecule: ribosomal RNA, 152 nt
Filed under: uncultured Pseudomonas sp.
Lineage: Bacteria; Pseudomonadati; Pseudomonadota; Gammaproteobacteria; Pseudomonadales; Pseudomonadaceae
Description: partial 16S ribosomal RNA
Rfam family: Bacterial small subunit ribosomal RNA
Source: RNAcentral
GCCUGAUCCAGCCAUGCCGCGUGUGUGAAGAAGGUCUUCGGAUUGUAAAGCACUUUCAGUUGGGAGGAAGGGUUGUAGCUUAAUACGCUGCUGUUUUGACGUUACCGACAGAAUAAGCACCGGCUAACUCUGUGCCAGCAGCCGCGGUAAUA